Cyprinus carpio (common carp) is the source of this 369-nucleotide long non-coding RNA. The record is from Ensembl. Lineage: Eukaryota; Metazoa; Chordata; Actinopteri; Cypriniformes; Cyprinidae.
UUUUCGGCAUGAAAAAAAUUGGUGCAUGCCUAUUGAUUAUGGGUCAUGCUCUCAUGAAUGCAGUAGCAUUCUCUAUUUAAAACUGAUUGAUUUUUUUCACAGGUAGCCUGAAGCAAAACUCUCUGCUAAAAAAUGUUAACAAAAAAUAAGUUGAGACAACCCUUGGCAAAUGGUUCGUCAACGCCAGGGACGGCAACCGUGCCUUGCGAGCCCAGCGAGACCUUGAACAGAGGAGUGAAACUGAGGGGUCUGCCCAAACCCAGGAGUGAUCUUCAUCCACAGAUUUUUUUUUUCUUUUAUCCUGCUUAAUUUUUAAAAUGUCUUUGUAUAAUCAAUAAAAAGAUGAAUUGCAUAUUCUGAGUUGAAACU